UGCUUGGAAAGUCAGUGUGGGAACCUUUUUCCAAGUUUCAUUUCUUUUUGUUUUGUUUCCUUUAUGUUCAUGACAGAGUCCAAAGACAGAAAGAACCAAAGUCAGCAUCGUACAGAACAUCCUCAUUGCCCUGAAAGCCAUCUAUGUUUUGUGCAGCCAGUCCCUCCUCCGUGCUUCCCAAGCCUCAGGUGACCACUGACCUUUUCGCUUUUGCCUCUGCGGGACUGGUGAGCAGAACUGUGUACAGGAUGAACAGAACCCUGCAGUAGGCGGCCUUUCAGACUGCCUCGUCCCACUCAGAAACAUGUAUGUAAAGAAGAGGACCAAACUCAUGGAGAAGAAGCCAAGAUUAUCCUCAAAAGGAAAAAUCCUAUAGAAGUAAAAUUUCAGUUAUCAGGAAACAGUAGAAUGUGGGAGAAAGGAAGAGCCUGGGGACUGCCAUACGGACUCCCUUAGAACAGAUGCCUUCAUCCAGCAGUGUUUAUGAAGCCUUCCUGCACAGUAGGAGAGAGCAGCCGGGGUGCUGGACAAGAAGGUCCUGGCUCUUAGGCGCUUCUGAGCGAGGAAAUGCAUUUGGCCGUGAGUGUGUGGGUAGCUGCUGCAACAUUCUUCUGUGGUCAUGUCAC
This is a long non-coding RNA of Fukomys damarensis (Damara mole-rat), 626 nucleotides long. RefSeq lists it as uncharacterized. The record is from RefSeq and is a predicted model, not a curated record. The transcript is spliced from 3 exons. Lineage: Eukaryota; Metazoa; Chordata; Mammalia; Rodentia; Bathyergidae.